RNAcentral lists this non-coding RNA (194 nucleotides) under Marivita cryptomonadis. The record is from RNAcentral. Lineage: Bacteria; Pseudomonadati; Pseudomonadota; Alphaproteobacteria; Rhodobacterales; Roseobacteraceae.
GUGACAGUAGACCGCGAUGGUGGGCAGUGUCUGAAGCGCUGCCCGAAUAGGGAAUACGGUGCAAUUCCGUGACUGCCCCCGCAACUGUAAGCGGUGAGUGCUUCGCGCAAAACCACUGGGCCGAAUGGUCUGGGAAGGUGCGAGCUUCACGAUGACCCGCGAGUCAGGAGACCUGCCAUCACAUAUGAACUGAA